UUGCUUGCUUUGGCAACACAUAUACUAAAACUGGAAUACAGAGAAGAUUAGCAUGGCCCCUGCACAGGAUGACACGCAGAUUUGUGAUGCAUUCCACUUUUUU
RNAcentral lists this small nuclear RNA (103 nucleotides) under Cercocebus atys (sooty mangabey). The record is from RNAcentral. Lineage: Eukaryota; Metazoa; Chordata; Mammalia; Primates; Cercopithecidae.